RNAcentral lists this ribosomal RNA (98 nucleotides) under uncultured archaeon. RNAcentral's name for it is "partial 16S ribosomal RNA". The record is from RNAcentral.
CUCCCUCGUUGCUGACCCCAGGUUCGAUAGUACCUUAAUUAGGCAUCACCUCGCCAAGAACCAACUUCGAUGAAGCGACGGGCGGUGUGUGCAAGGAG